This 467-nucleotide ribosomal RNA is filed under the name uncultured bacterium. RNAcentral's name for it is "partial 16S ribosomal RNA". It matches the Rfam family "Bacterial small subunit ribosomal RNA", at positions 28 to 507 of the family's 1533-position model. The record is from RNAcentral.
GAUGAACGCUGGCGGCGUGCUUAACACAUGCAAGUCGAACGGAAAGGCCCAAGCUUGCUUGGGUACUCGAGUGGCGAACGGGUGAGUAACACGUGGGUGAUCUGCCCUGCACUUCGGGAUAAGCCUGGGAAACUGGGUCUAAUACCGGAUAGGACCACUUCUUGGAUGUUGUUGUGGAAAGUUUUUUCGGUGUGGGAUGAGCUCGCGGCCUAUCAGCUUGUUGGUGGGGUAAUGGCCUACCAAGGCGUCGACGGGUAGCCGGCCUGAGAGGGUGUACGGCCACAUUGGGACUGAGAUACGGCCCAGACUCCUACGGGAGGCAGCAGUGGGGAAUAGUGCACAAUGGGCGCAAGCCUGAUGCAGCGAGGCCGAGUGGGGGAUGACGGCCUUCGGGUUGUAAACUCCUUUCGCAAGGGACGAAGCGUUGUGUGACGGUACCUGGAGAAGAAGCACCGGCUAACUACGUG